UACGUAGGGCGCAAGCGUUGUCCGGAAUUAUUGGGCGUAAAGAGCUCGUAGGUGGCGUGUCGCGUCUGCCGUGAAAGCCCAUGGCUUAACUGUGGGUCUGCGGUGGAAACUGUCUGGCUAGAGUCCGGAAGAGGAGAAUGGAAUUCCUGGUGUAGCGGUGAAAUGCGCAGAUAUCAGGAAGAACACCCGUGGCGAAGGCGGUUCUCUGGGACGGUACUGACGCUGAGACGCGAAAGCGUGGGGAGCGAACAGG
This 253-nucleotide ribosomal RNA is filed under the name uncultured bacterium. RNAcentral's name for it is "partial 16S ribosomal RNA". It matches the Rfam family "Bacterial small subunit ribosomal RNA", at positions 524 to 776 of the family's 1533-position model. The record is from RNAcentral.